AGUGAACGCUGGCGGUAGGCCUAACACAUGCAAGUCGAACGGCAGCACAGAGGAGCUUGCUCCUUGGGUGGCGAGUGGCGGACGGGUGAGGAAUACAUCGGAAUCUACUCUGUCGUGGGGGAUAACGUAGGGAAACUUACGCUAAUACCGCAUACGACCUACGGGUGAAGGCAGGGGAUCUUCGGACCUUGCGCGAUUGAAUGAGCAGAUGUCGGAUUAGCUAGUUGGCGGGGUAAAGGGCCACCAAGGCGACGAUCCGUAGCUGGUCUGAGGGGAUGAUCAGCCACACUGGAACUGAGACACGGUCCAGACUCCUACGGGAGGCAGCAGUGGGGAAUAUUGGACAAUGGGCGCAAGCCUGAUCCAGCCAUACCGCGUGGGUGAAGAAGGCCUUCGGGUUGUAAAGCCCUUUUGUUGGGAAAGAAAUCCAUCUGGUUAAUACCCGGGUGGGAUGACGGUACCCAAAGAAUAAGCACCGGCUAACUUCGUGCCAGCAGCCGCCGUAA
RNAcentral lists this ribosomal RNA (506 nucleotides) under uncultured bacterium. RNAcentral's name for it is "partial 16S ribosomal RNA". It matches the Rfam family "Bacterial small subunit ribosomal RNA", at positions 29 to 523 of the family's 1533-position model. The record is from RNAcentral.